Molecule: ribosomal RNA, 460 nt
Filed under: uncultured Prevotella sp.
Lineage: Bacteria; Pseudomonadati; Bacteroidota; Bacteroidia; Bacteroidales; Prevotellaceae
Description: bacterial SSU rRNA
Rfam family: Bacterial small subunit ribosomal RNA
Source: RNAcentral
CCUACGGGUGGCAGCAGUGAGGAAUAUUGGUCAAUGGACGUAAGUCUGAACCAGCCAAGUAGCGUGCAGGAAGACGGCCCUAUGGGUUGUAAACUGCUUUUGUAUGGGGAUAAAGUCAAUCACGUGUGAUUGUUUGCAGGUACCAUACGAAUAAGGACCGGCUAAUUCCGUGCCAGCAGCCGCGGUAAUACGGAAGGUUCGGGCGUUAUCCGGAUUUAUUGGGUUUAAAGGGAGCGUAGGCCGGAGAUUAAGUGUGUUGUGAAAUGUAGACGCUCAACGUCUGACUUGCAGCGCAUACUGGUUUCCUUGAGUACGCACAACGUUGGCGGAAUUCGUCGUGUAGCGGUGAAAUGCUUAGAUAUGACGAAGAACUCCGAUUGCGAAGGCAGCUGACGGGAGCGCCACUGACGCUUAAGCUCGAAGGUGCGGGUAUCGAACAGGAUUAGAUACCCCGGUAGUC